UUUAUGGAGAGUUUGAUCCUGGCUCAGGAUGAACGCUGGCGGCGUGCCUAAUACAUGCAAGUCGAGCGAACGGACGAGAAGCUUGCUUCUCUGAUGUUAGCGGCGGACGGGUGAGUAACACGUGGAUAACCUACCUAUAAGACUGGGAUAACUUCGGGAAACCGGAGCUAAUACCGGAUAAUAUUUUGAACCGCAUGGUUCAAAAGCGAAAGACGGUCUUACUGUCACUUAUAGAUGGAUCCGCGCUGCAUUAGCUAGUUGGUAAGGUAACGGCUUACCAAGGCAACGAUGCAUAGCCGACCUGAGAGGGUGAUCGGCCACACUGGAACUGAGACACGGUCCAGACUCCUACGGGAGGCAGCAGUAGGGAAUCUUCCGCAAUGGGCGAAAGCCUGACGGAGCAACGCCGCGUGAGUGAUGAAGGUCUUCGGAUCGUAAAACUCUGUUAUUAGGGAAGAACAUAUGUGUAAGUAACUGUGCACAUCUUGACGGUACCUAAUCAGAAAGCCACGGCUAACUACGUGCCAGCAGCCGCGGUAAUACGUAGGUGGCAAGCGUUAUCCGGAAUUAUUGGGCGUAAAGCGCGCGUAGGCGGUUUUUUAAGUCUGAUGUGAAAGCCCACGGCUCAACCGUGGAGGGUCAUUGGAAACUGGAAAACUUGAGUGCAGAAGAGGAAAGUGGAAUUCCAUGUGUAGCGGUGAAAUGCGCAGAGAUAUGGAGGAACACCAGUGGCGAAGGCGACUUUCUGGUCUGUAACUGACGCUGAUGUGCGAAAGCGUGGGGAUCAAACAGGAUUAGAUACCCUGGUAGUCCACGCCGUAAACGAUGAGUGCUAAGUGUUAGGGGGUUUCCGCCCCUUAGUGCUGCAGCUAACGCAUUAAGCACUCCGCCUGGGGAGUACGACCGCAAGGUUGAAACUCAAAGGAAUUGACGGGGACCCGCACAAGCGGUGGAGCAUGUGGUUUAAUUCGAAGCAACGCGAAGAACCUUACCAAAUCUUGACAUCCUUUGACAACUCUAGAGAUAGAGCUUUCCCCUUCGGGGGACAAAGUGACAGGUGGUGCAUGGUUGUCGUCAGCUCGUGUCGUGAGAUGUUGGGUUAAGUCCCGCAACGAGCGCAACCCUUAAGCUUAGUUGCCAUCAUUAAGUUGGGCACUCUAAGUUGACUGCCGGUGACAAACCGGAGGAAGGUGGGGAUGACGUCAAAUCAUCAUGCCCCUUAUGAUUUGGGCUACACACGUGCUACAAUGGACAAUACAAAGGGCAGCGAAACCGCGAGGUCAAGCAAAUCCCAUAAAGUUGUUCUCAGUUCGGAUUGUAGUCUGCAACUCGACUACAUGAAGCUGGAAUCGCUAGUAAUCGUAGAUCAGCAUGCUACGGUGAAUACGUUCCCGGGUCUUGUACACACCGCCCGUCACACCACGAGAGUUUGUAACACCCGAAGCCGGUGGAGUAACCUUUUAGGAGCUAGCCGUCGAAGGUGGGACAAAUGAUUGGGGUGAAGUCGUAACAAGGUAGCCGUAUCGGAAGGUGCGGCUGGAUCACCUCCUUU
Molecule: ribosomal RNA, 1552 nt
Filed under: Staphylococcus aureus
Lineage: Bacteria; Bacillati; Bacillota; Bacilli; Caryophanales; Staphylococcaceae
Description: 16S ribosomal RNA
Rfam family: Bacterial small subunit ribosomal RNA
Source: RNAcentral